ACGGGGCCCGCACAAGCGGCGGAGCAUGCGGAUUAAUUCGAUGCAACGCGAAGAACCUUACCAAGGCUUGACAUACACCGGUAACGCCCAGAGAUGGGUGCCCCUUUGUGGUCGGUGUACAGGUGGUGCAUGGUUGUCGUCAGCUCGUGUCGUGAGAUGUUGGGUUAAGUCCCGCAACGAGCGCAACCCUCGUCCUAUGUUGCCAGCGGGUCAUGCCGGGGACUCAUGGGAGACUGCCGGGGUCAACUCGGAGGAAGUGGGGAUGACGUCAAAUCAUCAUGCCCCUUAUGUCUUGGGCUUCACGCAUGCUACAAUGGCCGGUACAAAGGGCUGCGAUACCGCGAGGUGGAGCGAAUCCCAGAAAGCCGGUCUCAGUUCGGAUUGGGGUCUGCAACUCGACCCCAUGAAGUCGGAGUCGCUAGUAAUCGCAGAUCAGCAACGCUGCGGUGAAUACGUUCCCGGGCCUU
RNAcentral lists this ribosomal RNA (467 nucleotides) under uncultured Curtobacterium sp. RNAcentral describes it as "bacterial SSU rRNA". It matches the Rfam family "Bacterial small subunit ribosomal RNA", at positions 916 to 1381 of the family's 1533-position model. The record is from RNAcentral. Lineage: Bacteria; Bacillati; Actinomycetota; Actinomycetes; Micrococcales; Microbacteriaceae.